AUGAAAUGGAAAAGAACGGACAAACGACAAGAAGCUUUAAAAAGGGGCCGCCACGGGGACAUCUCUGCACGAGGCUUGGCUGCUGUAUUUGGAAGCUCUAUGGACCCCUCUAGAAAACACUGGCCAACUUUACUUCAGUGUCUUCAAGUCUGGUCAUAGUCCCCCCUGGCAUUUUCUAACCUGGUUUUAACUGCCCUGCCACCUCUUUCAUAAAAUAUCCAUUUUCUCGGACUUCCCUGGCGGUCCAGUGGCUAAGACUCUUUGCUCCCAAUGCAGGGGGCCCAGGAUCGAUCCCUGGUC
Long non-coding RNA from Bos taurus (domestic cattle), 300 nucleotides. NCBI's taxonomy places the organism in Eukaryota, Metazoa, Chordata, Mammalia, Artiodactyla, Bovidae. The record is from Ensembl.